Molecule: ribosomal RNA, 242 nt
Filed under: uncultured bacterium
Lineage: Bacteria
Description: partial 16S ribosomal RNA
Rfam family: Bacterial small subunit ribosomal RNA
Source: RNAcentral
UGAGCGGCGGACGGGUGAGUAACGCGUGGGUAACCUGCCUCAUGCAGGGGGAUAACAGUUGGAAACGGCUGCUAAUACCGCAUAAGCGCACAGUACCGCACGGUACGGUGUGAAAAACUCCGGUGGUAUGAGAUGGACCCGCGUCUGAUUAGGUAGUUGGUGGGGUAACGGCCUACCAAGCCGACGAUCAGUAGCCGACCUGAGAGGGUGACCGGCCACAUUGGGACUGAGACACGGCCCAA